GACGUAGGGCGCGAGCGUUGGCCGGAUUUAUUGGGCGUAAAGCGCUCGUAGGCGGCUUGUCGCGUCGACUGUGAAAUCUCCACGCUUAACGUGGAGCGUGCGGUCGAUACGGGCAGACUUGAGUUCGGUAGGGGAGACUGGAAUUCCUGGUGUAGCGGUGAAAUGCGCAGAUAUCAGGAGGAACACCGGUGGCGAAGGCGGGUCUCUGGGCCGAUACUGACGCUGAGGAGCGAAAGCGUGGGGAGCGAACAGG
RNAcentral lists this ribosomal RNA (253 nucleotides) under uncultured bacterium. RNAcentral describes it as "partial 16S ribosomal RNA". It matches the Rfam family "Bacterial small subunit ribosomal RNA", at positions 524 to 776 of the family's 1533-position model. The record is from RNAcentral.